CCCUCUUUCCCUCCAAUUUUAACUCUUUGUAAGGUUGUUUGAAAGAUGUCUUUUAGCCAUCUUUCAAGCAAACUGUUAACAAAAGAACCAUAUCCAUAUAAUACCUCUUCUAAUGCCCUCUCCUCAAUGCUAAAACCAUUUACAUUUUGAUCCCCAAAAGUUUCCUCGACAUACCUCUUCAUCUUGGAUGAGAGAACCUCUGUCAUCUCCCUGUCCUGAUCUUGAUUUCGAUCGAAAACAUACCGGUUCUUAAUCGAAUCAAGAAACCAAUGUGGAGUUACAGGAUCAGAGGUGGUCUCACGAGUCAAAUCGCUCGAAGUGGGGCUAAAUUCCCCAGGUUUUUCUUCACUUUCAUCAUCCUCAUUGGCCUUGAUGUUGAGAUCAAGUGUGUUGAAGCUUGACUGCCUUGAGAAGUCUUUUUUCAUGUUUCCAUUUUCAACAUCUUUGUUUUCACGGGUUCUUGGAGUCUUGUUCUUUCUUGAAAUGUCCCACUCAGCUUUUCUCUUAUGAUCCUUGUUGGUUGGAGUUUUUUCCUCCACCUCCAAGGUCAUCCUGAUAACAGAAUCUUGAUCCAUCUUUCCAUCUUCAUAGCUCAUGAAAUGGCCACCUGUUGUUAAAAUGAAUAUUGCUUGGCUAAUGUUCCCUGAUUCUCCAAAUUUUCCAGUUUCAAAUCCAUUAGCAAGGAGUUUCAUGAACUGCGUAUCAGCAAAAUCAACAUCUUCCACCAAAGCAACAAUCUUCUCUUGAUUUCUUAAAGUUUUUUCUAUUGUCUCUGAAUAUGUGGCUUCAUUAUCCUUUUUCCUCAUGUUCAUGCAGAGUAGAAAAUCAACAGACCCCAAAACAGACUCUGCAAUUGCAAGGGCCAAUCUUCUUUUUCCUAGAGCGUCAUUGCCUUGGAUAAGUAGCCAAGUCCCUUUUCCAGUUGAUUUGGAUUCAAUCAAAGCUUCUACUAUAGAAUGAAUAGUGUCAGAUUGCCAAGGCACGUUCUCUUGCAAUAACUUGCACAAAUCACUCCUCCCUUUGUCCCUUCCUCCAAUAUCAGUGCAGAAAGAAUUGCCAAGUUCAAGGGUGAUCUUGACUUCCCUACCCUGAGAGUUCUUGAGAGAAUCCAAGUUUGGUUCCCCUGGCAUGUGCUUUUGUGUUUCACUGCCAAAGUUGAAAUCAAUAGUGCAUGACUGUUGACGUCUAAAUUUAGGCACAAAAUUGGAGGUCUGAUUAGGCUUUAGGACCGAAUCUCUGAAGGAGAUUGAAUUUGAAUCUGAGAAGAUGUUGUUUUGGCUUGGCCACCAAGGAUAGGAGGAAGCAUAUGAAUAGCUCUUCCCAAUUAGGCAUUGGUUGUCGUUGUACAAAGUAGUGGAACCUAAAUGACUUUGAAUAUGCCUUCCUUGGUGGUGCAGGCCCUGGCAGAAUCUAUUCCAUUUUCUUCUCAACUCAGCCAAUUCAUCCUUUUGAUUAGCAUUAGUGCCUUGUGGAUGAAGCCAAGAAGGCAAAUUUUUCUGCUGCCCUGGUUUGAAGAGUUGAGCUUCUUUUUCAUAACUGGAGGUGCAUUCUGCACAGCAAGUUAGCUUAUCUUCCUCAUCCUUUCCAUUGGCAAUGAAAGGUUUUGUUUCCAGUAACUGAGAUGGGUUUUGGGAGAAGGUUACCCUUGAUUCAUUGAUACUACAAACAAAACUAAUUAAUGUGUUAGUGAAGAUGCAGAAUUUUUAUAUUAAAGAGGUGUAUGAUCAGACUGUACAGCAUCUUCCCUGAUGAAUCAUGUGUCACUUUUUUUUCGAAAUUGAAUAGAGCAUUACCGAAAAUAUACAGUUCAAAACACAAGAGCGUUAGAGAGGAAAACUUAACCAUUUUUGUCAUUAAAGUAGAAGGGUUCUGCAACAAAGUGAAGGAUUUCAGGUUUCAGUUACAAUGUUUCGCUUAAAUCUAAGAGUUUGACCAAUAAAAAUAUAUUCUAAAGUAGGUCCAUUUUCAAGAAUAUGGUAACUUCCUGGGUUCUCAUGCAAUCCUGAUCCUCUACAAACAGGACAAACAAAAUGCCAAUCCAGGACAGGAUAAAAUAAAAAUAAUUAAUAAUUAAAAAAAUAAUCCCAUAUCCAAAAGGUCAAAAAAAGGAAAAUUUUUUUAUUGGAAAAAUGGAAGUAGCCUUUGUGAAAGUUUCAACAGAGAUGCAUAUCUUCCAAGUGAAUAGUUCCUACGCCUUGAUUCAAACAAAAACACAAAAGAAAGUUGAUCAAAUAAGAAACAUCAAAAAGUAACAAACUUUUUUUAAACAAAAAAAAGGAAGAAAUACAGCAAUCAAAACCUUCCCUUUCCAUUUCUUUUGUUUUGCACUCUUCUUUUAUUACAAAAUCUGCAAUAUGCAGUUGCUAUAUCCUGACACCAGAACAAUGCAAAAGCAUAUAUGCAACGACAGUGAGUGAUUCAUUCUGUCUUACCAAACCGCACUUUUCACAGGUGUUUUGGCCUCAUUCAGACCAUAAAGGCACACACAUAACACUAAACUACAAUCCAAAAUAAAAGCUUCAACCUUCAAUUAAUGGAUGACCAUCAAUGAAUAAUACAGAAUAUAUCCG
This 2570-nucleotide unclassified non-coding RNA is filed under the name Hevea brasiliensis (rubber tree). The record is from RNAcentral. Lineage: Eukaryota; Viridiplantae; Streptophyta; Magnoliopsida; Malpighiales; Euphorbiaceae.